Long non-coding RNA from Triticum dicoccoides, 2174 nucleotides. RefSeq lists it as uncharacterized. Lineage: Eukaryota; Viridiplantae; Streptophyta; Magnoliopsida; Poales; Poaceae. The record is from RefSeq and is a predicted model, not a curated record. The transcript is spliced from 3 exons.
CUACGCACUUGACCGAUGGGCCCUGGCUUGGACGGACGUUUGGACGCCAUGGACGGAGCGAGGCAGAGUCGUGGUUCAAGAUGUCACCGGCGUCCUGAUCUGUGGAUCAGAUCCGGUGCUUUCCGGUAGUGGCGGCAGGGCACGCAGUAAAUGCAGAAGUUGGGCGCUGGGGCAAGCUAUCCCCUACCCAGUGAAGUUGGAUCUUGCAUUCUUCAAGGCGGGGAACCGGUGGAGAAAUCUCCUGCGGGAAAAGGGAGUGGGCGGUCCAGCGAGCUCCCAGGUCCUCCGGCGAGCAUGGAAUUCUUGUUGCAGCCAUUAAACAGGUUAGAAUCUGCUCGCUGUGGCUCCGUUUGGCACGGUUUUGGAUUAAGUUUUCAGCAAUGAUUUGAUUUUGUCUACUGAAUAUUUUUGCGGAAGUACCACAACACUGCUAGAGAAGGUUAACGAGAACAACAACACCAUGGAGCCUCUUCACUACCCAGUCAUGGCGCCGGCGGAGGUUGAGCUGCCGGCCCCGGCGGCCUCAAGUGCAGACGGCCAAAUCUGUGUUGACGGCGCCGCUCCAGAGCCGGCCAGUGCAGACAAGGGUCAAGGUUCAGAGCACUCUAUAGAGCAAGUGGAUCCAAAAACUCCGGGGUGGACGCAAAGAGUGCUCCUUGCCCUCACAGGAUCUCAGCCCUGGAGAGAUCAGUCCGGCGAUUUGCAGAAAAAACAGGAGACUUUGUCAUUGUGCAAAGAUAGGAACAAGUUUCGACACACUUGGUGAGGCGUACGAUUUUUACAAUUUAUAUUCGUGGGCGAAAGGAUUCGGUAUUAGGUAAGGGAAGAGCAGGCUAAAUGUGGACCAGACAAAAUGCAUGCAAAAGAUAGUCUGUGGGUGUGCGGUAUGACAGAUCUUUGAGCAUUUUAAAUAUCUUUCCAGCUCACUAUGAGAAAGUUCGUAGUGGAGUUAACUGAAUAUGUUUGACAUGGACCAUGACGUGAGCUAAUCGCAGGGGAGACCGCUUACGUGAGCAAACAUCGCAACUAAAAGACAUGCUGGCAAAAUCUACACACGAACUAUGUUCAAGCAGUUUUGCCAUAUAGUAUAUGAGUGCGGAGCAUACCAGAUGGAAGAGAUCGAGAAAGGAAAAACGUAUAUUACAAUUCAUACCGAGGCAGAGCGGCGGGAGAAGUGGUGAGGAAUUUGAUUGUGAAUGCGGCCAGUUCGCACACAUGCGGAUGCUCUACAGCCAUGUCUUGAAGGCUCUGGACUUUAUUCUUAUUAAGGAAAUACCUUGGAAGCACAUAGUGAAAAGAUGGACUAGAGAUGCCAGACACAUCCUACUCCCUCAUCUGACACAAUAUCAGAAGGACAAUGCUCACAAAAAUUCAUUUAGUUAUAGGCAUUUCAAUAUGUCGAUGCAUGACAUGAAGCUUGUCCGUAUGGGGGACACGAGUGUUGAAGCAUAUACGCAUCUAAUUUCUAUGAUCAAGAAUUGUGCUGCUGGAAUGACACCAUUUGCUGAAAUAAUAAGAGACAGUCUUGGAUUAGAGGACAUGAUGGCAGAGAAUGGAGAUGUUGUUAACCAGGUUCAGACACAAGUUGGUAUUCAGUUUGCACCAAACAGAGUGGAUAGUGUUGUUGGCAACGACGAAACAACUCGGCUAACGAGUCUGGUAAUAGGCUGUCAGGAUUAUUACCUCUGGCUAAGAGGAAGGACAUGGGAAGGCCUACGACAAGCAGAGAGAAGGCGUUUUAUGAAGGUUUGAGUAAGAGGACAAGAUUUUGCACGAUUUUUCGGCGGCAAGGCCACAAAUGUACAACUUUGCCCUGAUCGCGGGGAUGUCCCAAAGCAGGUGAGGAAACCUGCACGGUGCAAAAGUUGUGGGGUGGACAAAGCAGCAGAACUCAGACUGAAUAAUUUACAAACUUAGAUUGUUUCAGCAUGACAUAUUUCUGUCAUGGCCGGUGACUCAUGCCAGAGCAAGCACAGGGGACUGGAGUGCUAAUGUGACAUUGGGAGCGUCAGUGUGUGUGGGCACAGCCGGUCCUUGUGCGUGUGAGUGUCGGGCGCUGGUGUGGUGUACGUGAGGCCCUGGUUAGGAGUCGUGUGUGGUUUGUGGGUGUAUAAACACCCAGUCUUGUAAUGUGUUUUGGUGGAAAAAAAGAAAAUAAGUAGCAAAAGUCUGAA